This 320-nucleotide long non-coding RNA is filed under the name Ananas comosus (pineapple). RNAcentral describes it as "long non-coding RNA (ACOM_LNC005837)". The record is from RNAcentral. Lineage: Eukaryota; Viridiplantae; Streptophyta; Magnoliopsida; Poales; Bromeliaceae.
AAUAAAUCUUUAAAUUAAAAACUUAUAAUUUGUGAAAUAAUUUUCUCAAAAUUUUAAUUAGCGUAAUAUUGUAAAAAAUUUAUAAUUUAUUAAAUAUUUCUAUCAAAAUUUUAUUUAGUAAAAUAUUUUAUCAAAAAAAAAUAAUUAGAAAAUAGUGAACCGUUCACUAACUUUAAUAAAUUUUAAAAAACGAUAAAUUAUUUAUUAUUAUUUUUGUACAAAAAAAAGCUAUAAAUAAUUCACUAUCCUAAAAAAACCAACAAUUUACCAUUUUAUAAAGACGGUAAAAAAUUCACCCACUAAAUACUUAAAAGAGCUCG